RNAcentral lists this ribosomal RNA (349 nucleotides) under uncultured bacterium. RNAcentral's name for it is "bacterial SSU rRNA". It matches the Rfam family "Bacterial small subunit ribosomal RNA", at positions 173 to 507 of the family's 1533-position model. The record is from RNAcentral.
UUAAUCCAUUUUUGCUUCAUGGCGAGAUGUUAAAAGGCGGCUUCGGCUGUCACUACGAGAUGGGCCCGCGGCGCAUUAGCUAGUUGGUAGGGUAAUGGCCUACCAAGGCGACGAUGCGUAGCCGACCUGAGAGGGUGAUCGGCCACACUGGGACUGAGACACGGCCCAGACUCCUACGGGAGGCAGCAGUAGGGAAUCUUCCACAAUGGACGAAAGUCUGAUGGAGCAACGCCGCGUGAGUGAAGAAGGUUUUCGGAUCGUAAAACUCUGUUGUAAGGGAAGAACACGUACGAGAGUAACUGCUCGUACCUUGACGGUACCUUAUUAGAAAGCCACGGCUAACUACGUG